UACAGAGGUGGCAAGCGUUGUUCGGAAUCACUGGGCGUAAAGGGCGUGUAGGCGGUCCACUAAGUCUGAUGUGAAAGCCCGGGGCUCACCCCCGGAAGUGCAUUGGAAACUGGCGGACUCGAGUCCCGGAGAGGAGAGUGGAAUUCCUGGUGUAGCGGUGAAAUGCGUAGAUAUCAGGAGGAACACCGGUGGCGAAGGCGGCUCUCUGGACGGUGACUGACGCUGAGACGCGAAAGCGUGGGGAGCAAACAGG
This 253-nucleotide ribosomal RNA is filed under the name uncultured bacterium. RNAcentral's name for it is "partial 16S ribosomal RNA". It matches the Rfam family "Bacterial small subunit ribosomal RNA", at positions 524 to 776 of the family's 1533-position model. The record is from RNAcentral.